GAUGAAGAACGUAGCGAAAUGCGAUAAGUAAUGUGAAUUGCAGAAUUCAGUGAAUCAUCGAAUCUUUGAACGCACCUUGCGCUCCUUGGUAUUCCGAGGAGCAUGCCUGUUUGAGUGUCAUGAAAUUCUCAACCUUUUCAGCUUUCUUUGUUGAUCAGGCUUGGAUGUGGGAGUAUGCGGGCUUCUCAGAAGUCGGCUCUCCUGAAAUGCAUUAGCGGGACCUUUGUUGCCUGGCUUUGGUGUGAUAAUUAUCUACGCCAUUGUAGUCAAGCAGCUUAAAAUGAGGUUUCAGCUUUUAACCGUCUCCCCUGAGACAACUUUUUGACAAUUUGACCUCAAAUCAGGUAGGACUACCCGCUGAACUUAAGCAUAUCAAUAAGCGGAGGA
RNAcentral lists this unclassified non-coding RNA (387 nucleotides) under soil metagenome. Its description in RNAcentral is "partial contains 5.8S ribosomal RNA, internal transcribed spacer 2, and large subunit ribosomal RNA". The stretch from base 1 to 120 matches the Rfam family "5.8S ribosomal RNA", at positions 35 to 154 of the family's 154-position model. The record is from RNAcentral.